CAGUCGCCGCGGUAAUACGUAGGGUGCGAGCGUUAAUCGGAAUUACUGGGCGUAAAGCGUGCGCAGGCGGCUAUGCAAGACAGAUGUGAAAUCCCCGGGCUCAACCUGGGAACUGCAUUUGUGACUGCAUGGCUAGAGUACGGUAGAGGGGGAUGAAAUUCCGCGUGUAGCAGUGAAAUGCGUAGAUAUGCGGAGGAACACCGAUGGCGAAGGCAAUCCCCUGGACCUGUACUGACGCUCAUGCACGAAAGCGUGGGGAGCAAACAGGAUUAGAUACCCGAGUAGUCCCUGUCUCUUAUAC
This 301-nucleotide ribosomal RNA is filed under the name uncultured bacterium. RNAcentral describes it as "partial 16S ribosomal RNA". It matches the Rfam family "Bacterial small subunit ribosomal RNA", at positions 509 to 807 of the family's 1533-position model. The record is from RNAcentral.